UACGAAGGGGGCUAGCGUUGUUCGGAUUUACUGGGCGUAAAGGGCGCGUAGGCGGUCGUGACAAGUCACUUGUGAAAUCUCCGGGCUUAACUCGGAACGGUCAAGUGAUACUGUCGGACUAGAGUACAGAAGGGGCAACUGGAAUUCCUGGUGUAGCGGUGAAAUGCGCAGAUAUCAGGAGGAACACCGAUGGCGAAGGCAGGUCUCUGGGCCACUACUGACGCUGAGAAGCGAAAGCAUGGGGGAGCGAACAGG
Molecule: ribosomal RNA, 255 nt
Filed under: uncultured bacterium
Lineage: Bacteria
Description: partial 16S ribosomal RNA
Rfam family: Bacterial small subunit ribosomal RNA
Source: RNAcentral